UGCAAGUCGAACGCGAAAGGGGACUUCGGUCCGUGAGUAAAGUGGCGGCACGGGUGAGUAACGCGUAGAUAACCUGUCUUCAUGUCUGGAAUAAUACGCCGAAAGGGGUACUAAUACCGGAUAUUCUUGCUUUUCAUAAGUUAUGCAAGCAAAGGUGGCCUCUGCAUAUGCUACUGCAUGAAGAGGGGUCUGCGUACCAUUAGCUAGUAGGUGGGGUAAUGGCCUACCUAGGCGACGAUGGUUAGCGGGUCUGAGAGGAUGAUCCGCCACACUGGCACUGGAACACGGGCCAGACUCCUACGGGAGGCAGCAGUGAGGAAUAUUGCGCAAUGGGGGAAACCCUGACGCAGCGACGCCGCGUGAGUGAAGGAAGGCCUUCGGGUCGUAAAGCUCUGUCAAGAGGAAAGAAGUGUACAAUGGCUAAUACCUGUUGUAUUUGACGGUACCUCUAAAGGAAGCACCGGCUAACUCCGUGCCAGCCGCUGC
Molecule: ribosomal RNA, 486 nt
Filed under: uncultured bacterium
Lineage: Bacteria
Description: bacterial SSU rRNA
Rfam family: Bacterial small subunit ribosomal RNA
Source: RNAcentral